AUUGAACGCUGGCGGCAUGCCUUACACAUGCAAGUCGAACGGUAACAGGUUAAGCUGACGAGUGGCGAACGGGUGAGUAAUGUAUCGGAACGUGCCCAGUCGGGGGGGAUAACUGCUCGAAAGAGCAGCUAAUACCGCAUACGACCUGAGGGUGAAAGCGGGGGAUCGCAAGACCUCGCGCGAUUGGAGCGUCCGAUAUCAGAUUAGGUAGUUGGUGAGGUAAAGGCUCACCAAGCCGACGAUCUGUAGCUGGUCUGAGAGGACGACCAGCCACACUGGGACUGAGACACGGCCCAGACUCCUACGGGAGGCAGCAGUGGGGAAUUUUGGACAAUGGGCGCAAGCCUGAUCCAGCCAUGCCGCGUGCGGGAAGAAGGCCUUCGGGUUGUAAACCGCUUUUGUCAGGGAAGAAAAGGUUCUGGCUAAUACCUGGGACUCAUGACGGUACCUGAAGAAUAGGCACCGGCUAACUACG
Molecule: ribosomal RNA, 475 nt
Filed under: uncultured bacterium
Lineage: Bacteria
Description: partial 16S ribosomal RNA
Rfam family: Bacterial small subunit ribosomal RNA
Source: RNAcentral